This 227-nucleotide ribosomal RNA is filed under the name uncultured bacterium. RNAcentral describes it as "partial 16S ribosomal RNA". It matches the Rfam family "Bacterial small subunit ribosomal RNA", at positions 1274 to 1500 of the family's 1533-position model. The record is from RNAcentral.
UCUUAAAGCCGUUCUCAGUUCGGAUUGUAGGCUGCAACUCGCCUACAUGAAGUCGGAAUCGCUAGUAAUCGCGGAUCAGCAUGCCGCGGUGAAUACGCUCCCGGGCCUUGUACACACCGCCCGUCACACCAUGAGAGUUUGUAACACCCAAAGCCGGUGGGGUAACCUUUUGGAGCCAGCCGUCUAAGGUGGGACAGAUGAUUGGGGUGAAGUCGUAACAAGGUAAC